This 1151-nucleotide long non-coding RNA is filed under the name Lonchura striata (white-rumped munia). Its description in RNAcentral is "domestica (Bengalese finch) lncRNA (ENSLSDG00000011315.1)". Lineage: Eukaryota; Metazoa; Chordata; Aves; Passeriformes; Estrildidae. The record is from RNAcentral.
GGAUUUAUCUGGUGGAGAAAAAUCCUGAAAUUUUUUUGGGGAAAAAAAAAUCCCUGAAAUUUGGGAUUUAUUUGGGGGAAAAUCCGAAAGUUUUGGAUUUACGAGAAGGGAAAAAAUGGUAAAAAUUUGGUGGGAAAUCCCAGAAAUUUGAGCUUCAGCUGUGCCCAAAAUUUGGGAUUUUUUUUUUUUUUUUGGAUGGGGAAAAAUGUGAAAAAACUGGGGGGAAAAAAAUCCUAAAAAAAGGGGGAGGAAAAAAUCCCCAAAAUUUGGGGAAAAUCCCCAAAUUGUCCCGAAUUUGUCCCAAAUUGGAGGGAGGGGACAGAGCCCUUCAGCCCUGGGCGAGGACAGGUGACAGCGGGAGGUGCCACCAGGUGUGCCCAGGUGUCACCUCAGGUGUGCCCAGGUGCCACCAGGUGUGCCCAGGUGCCACCAGGUGUGCCCAGGUGCCACCAGGUGUGUCCAGGUGUCACCUCAAGUGUGUCCAGGUGCCACCAGGUGUGCCCAGGUGCCACCUCAGGUGUGUCACACCUGGCCCACAGGCACGGGGAGGUGACAGGUGCCACCAGGUGCCACCGACACACAGCGAAACCAACGGUGCCACCUCCUGUCCUGUCCUGGUGCCGUCCCCAGGUGCCUCCAGGUGUGCCCAGGUGCCACCAGCUCUCCCCAGGUGUCUCCAGGUGUGUCCCAGCUGUUCCCAGGUGCCACCAGGUGUGCCCAGGUGCCUCCAGGGUGUCCUCAGGGUGUCUCCAGGUGCUACCAGGUUUCUCUCGGGUGAUCCCAGGUAUGCCCAGAUGUCUCCAGGUGCCACCAGGUGUGCCCAGGUGCCUCCAGGGUGUCCUCAGGGUGUCCCCAGGUGCCACCAGGUGUGCCCAGGUGUCACCAGGUGUCCUCAGGAUGUCCUCAAGGUGUCCCAGGUGUCCCCAGGAUGUCCUCAGGGGAUUCUCAGGUGUGCCCACAUAUCUCCAGGUGUGCCCAGCUGUCUCCAGGAUGUCCUCAAGGUGUUCCCAGGUGUCCCCAGGUGUGCCCAGGUGUCCUCAGGAUGUCCUCAAGGUGUUCCCAGGUGUCUCUAGGAUGUCCCCAGGCAUGCACCAGGUGUCCCCAGGUGUACUCAGGUGCCCUCAGGAUGUCCUCAAGGUGUUCCCAGGUGU